Molecule: ribosomal RNA, 487 nt
Filed under: uncultured bacterium
Lineage: Bacteria
Description: bacterial SSU rRNA
Rfam family: Bacterial small subunit ribosomal RNA
Source: RNAcentral
AGAGUUUGAUCCUGGCUUAGAACGAACGCUGGCGGCAUGGAUUAGGCAUGCAAGUCGAACGCUCACCGCAAGGUGGGAGUGGCGGAAGGGUGAGGAACACGUGAGUAAUCUACCUCCAAGUUGGGAAUAACAGUUGGAAACGACUGCUAAUACCGAAUGUGGCUGUUGGACCGCAUGGUUUGACGGCUAAAGAUUUAUCGCUUGGAGAUGAGCUCGCGUCCCAUUAGCUAGUUGGUGAGGUAACGGCUCACCAAGGCGACGAUGGGUAGCUGGUCUGAGAGGAUGGUCAGCCACACUGGGACUGAGACACUGCCCAGACUCCUACGGGAGGCUGCAGUCGAGAAUCUUGGGCAAUGCGCGAAAGCGUGACCCAAGCAAUGCCGCGUGCGGGAUGAAGGUCUUCGGAUUGUAAACCGCUGUCACUCGGGACGAACAAAAUGACGGUACCGAGGGAGGAAGCCACGGCUAACUACGUGCCAGCCGCAGC